RNAcentral lists this ribosomal RNA (252 nucleotides) under uncultured bacterium. Its description in RNAcentral is "partial 16S ribosomal RNA". It matches the Rfam family "Bacterial small subunit ribosomal RNA", at positions 57 to 305 of the family's 1533-position model. The record is from RNAcentral.
GCAAGUCGAACGGUAACAAAGAAUAGCUUGCUAUUUUGCUGACGAGUGGCGGACGGGUGAGUAAUGCUUGGGAAUUUGCCUGAUGGUGGGGGACAACAGUUGGAAACGACUGCUAAUACCGCAUAAUGUCUACGGACCAAAGCAGGGGACCUUAGGGCCUUGCGCUAUCAGAUGAGCCCAAGUGGGAUUAGCUAGUUGGUAAGGUAAUGGCCUACCAAGGCGACGAUGGAUAGCCGGCCUGAGAGGGUGAAC